Molecule: RNA transcript, 1943 nt
Organism: Metopolophium dirhodum (rose-grain aphid)
Lineage: Eukaryota; Metazoa; Arthropoda; Insecta; Hemiptera; Aphididae
Exons: 11
Source: RefSeq, a predicted model, not a curated record
CCAAAAAACUUGAAUUACCGAAAGUUUCAAUCCUUUUAAAUAAUUGCUUAUUUUUAUAUAUUUUUUUAAUUUAAACAUUAUGGAUUUCUGGUGAAUAAUAACAUGCCAACCGUGUAUACAAGCCAGAUAGUUAUUUUAAAUAAAUAUGAUUUAAUAAAGGCUGUAAUUAUUUAAUUUGAACGGUUUUUUUAAAAAAAUGUUUUAUAAAAAUAAGUUUUGUUGUUAGGUUAUCAUACAAAUUGUUAUCUUGUUGUACUCGGUAAGACCUGAAUUUUGAUGUAAUUGGAAGCGUGAAUAUUUUCUAUUCACCCAGAAUUACGUUUCAUCAAAAUGUUCAUCAACACCAUUCAGUUAUUGCGACUAUCAAAUUUAAACACUGUAUUUUAUUACAGAGUAUUAUGUCUUUAUUUGUCAAAACUAAUUAUACAAAUAUAUGAGUUAAACUAUAAUUCCGAAGAAGAUUUUAAUAGAGCUUACAAAAAAGUCAUUCGUUGUCGACAAAAACAAAUGGAUGAUCAACAUUGGAACAUUUAUAUGGAAUCAAUUAAUGAUACAGACUCUAAAAAAACAUUCACUAUUGAAAAUAAUACAGAAGUUAAACAAAGUGAACACUUAUUUAAUAAAGGCAGUAAUAGCCAGUUUAGUACAGAUGAUUCAGUAAAUUUGCGCUCAUUGCAUGAUCCUUCUGAUCUUAAUAAUAUUCAUGGACUUAGAAACCGUUUGUUUAUUACAUUUAAUGCAUUUUCUAAAAUAUUAGAAAAUGCACUUUCACCACCCGUUUUAAAAAGUGCUAAAAAAAAACAAAUUAAAAUUAAAGAAUGUGAUCAACUACCAAAUAAUUAUAUAUGUGAUCUCAAUUCACUGCUAUCUGAAAUUAAAAAAGAAUCAAAAAAUGAAGACCUGCACGGAAAAAAAAAUAAAAACAAUGUCACAUUAAGAAAAAGCUUUCAAAUUAAGUUGAUUAAAUGCUAUAAAUUAGCAAUUAAUGCCACAAAGGAAUGUUCAAAAACCUUAGAAGCUGGAAUUUAUAACCCUAUUCAAAGUAAAAUGAAAAAUUUGAUCCAAAUUAUAUCAACUCUAUCACUUACUACCGGAAAAUAUAUAUAUGGUGAAUUAUAUAAGAAAAAAAAGAAAGAAAGUUUUGAUUUAGUUCAACAUUGCAAAGAUUUAGAUAAUAUGUUGGAGGAAUCUGGUUAUAAAGACACAGACGAUGACAAUCAUAGUAAUAAUAUGGAUAACAAUAUACUGAAUGAGCUUUCUAAGAUAGCUUUAAGUAAACCUGCUAAAACCCAACCGUUUUCGGCCAACUCAAAUCGAUUAAGUAUGUAUAGUCAUGAUCAACCAAAAUUGGGAUCGUGUUAUGCUCAAGGAUGGUCAAAAAAAUCAUUUGAAUUAACAAGAAAUAAAGUUUUAUCAAAAAAAGACAAUAUCAUAAAAACUGAAAAUAAUUUAGAUGAUGUCAAAACUGUAAUGGAAGAAUAUCCCUUCAGAGAAUCGAAUGAAACAAACAAUAAAUUGUUUAUUAAAGAGAUACAAAAUGAAAAAAUAAUUGAUACUAAUGAAGCAAUUAAAUUUCCAACUGCUUCAAAAGUAUUAAAGUCAGAUAACAGUAAAAGGUCAGAAAACAGUAAUGUUGGCCUAUACUAUGUGAGACAUAACCCUUGGAAAAAUUUUCCUAUUAAAAGUACUAAAUUAUUUAAAUUUAUAUUUCAUAAGAGAUAUAAGGCUAUCUAAGGAUAAUGAACAAAUUCUUUUAAACAUAUCUCAGAAAGACGCAGAGGAAGCUCAUUCAGAUCGAAGAAAAUUUAAAGAGUAUAAAUUAAGAACAGAACGUGAUGAUAAUAUCGUAUCCAAGAUUACAGAAUUAGUUUUACAAGACCUCAUAAAUGAAGUGUUAACAAAAAUAUUUGAUGCAAUAAUAUUUGAAACAAUAAGAAGGGAAU